AAAUUUUAGGAUAUGACUUGAACUUUUGUGGAUAUGAGUUGAACCUUUAGGAUAUGAAUUGAAAUUUUAGGAUAUGAAUUUAAAUUUUUGGUUUAUGUAUUGGAAUUUUAGUUUAUAAAUUGAAAUUUUAGGAUAUGACUUGAACUUUUGUGGAUAUGAGUUGAAAUUUUUGGUUUAUGAAUUGGAAUUUUAGUUUAUAAAUUGAAAUUUUAGGAUAUGACUUGAACUUUUGUGGAUAUGAGUUGAACCUUUAGGAUAUGAAUUGAAAUUUAGGAUUGCAGGGGGAUUUUAUAGAAGGGGUUGAUGACUUUAUUAGACAUGCAGUGGAACUUCCACCAAGAAUAAUUUAGACACAGUACCUGGCAUAGUGUGCCUUUAAUUGUUGUUCUCAUUAGCAACAAUGACGAUGAGAAGGCAAUGUCAUGUGUUUCAAACAGUGAUGGUGUAAGUAGAAAUUUAACAUUUCCUAAGUAGAUAAAAGAAGAGGUUAUAGAGGAAUUCUCUACUUCAUUUUCCAAGAGGAAAUAGAAAAUUCCUCUAUAACCUCUUGUUUUAUCUGCUUAGGAAAUGUUAAAUUUUUACCUACACCAUCACUGUUUGAAACACAUGUCAUUGCCUUCCCAUCAUCAUUGUCGCUAAUGAGAACAACAAUUGAUCAAAGACACACCCUGUCGGGUAAUGUAUCCAAGUUACUCUCUGUAUCCAAGUUCAUCCCGAGUAAUAGUACCACAAGGAUAAACACCAAAGCCACCAGACAACUUUAUGAUGCCAAUGAAGUAAGAUAAGCUAUUCAAUGAGACUCGUAUUGUAAAGAAGAAGAAAGAGACUGAUCCAGAAAGGUGGGUCGAGGGUCGAGCCUCGACUAUACAUGU
RNAcentral lists this long non-coding RNA (872 nucleotides) under Nicotiana tabacum (common tobacco). RNAcentral's name for it is "long non-coding RNA (NTAB_LNC002309)". Lineage: Eukaryota; Viridiplantae; Streptophyta; Magnoliopsida; Solanales; Solanaceae. The record is from RNAcentral.